This 376-nucleotide ribosomal RNA is filed under the name uncultured bacterium. RNAcentral's name for it is "bacterial SSU rRNA". It matches the Rfam family "Bacterial small subunit ribosomal RNA", at positions 918 to 1297 of the family's 1533-position model. The record is from RNAcentral.
GGCCCGCACAAGCGGCGGAGCAUGUUGCUUAAUUCGAUGCAACGCGAAGAACCUUACCAGGGUUUGACAUCCUGCGAAUCUCUUGGAAACGAGAGAGUGCCUUCGGGAACGCAGUGACAGGUGGUGCAUGGCUGUCGUCAGCUCGUGUCGUGAGAUGUUGGGUUAAGUCCCGCAACGAGCGCAACCCACGUCUUUAGUUGCCAGCAUUUAGUUGGGCACUCUAGAGAGACCGCCGGUGAUAAACCGGAGAAGGUGUGGAUGACGUCAAGUCAUCAUGCCCCUUACAUCUGGGCUACACACGUACUACAAUGCUACGGACAAAGAGCAGCAAGUUCGCGAGGACAAGCAAAUCUCAUAAACCGUGGCUCAGUUCAGA